RNAcentral lists this ribosomal RNA (829 nucleotides) under uncultured Actinomycetes bacterium. RNAcentral's name for it is "bacterial SSU rRNA". It matches the Rfam family "Bacterial small subunit ribosomal RNA", at positions 68 to 902 of the family's 1533-position model. The record is from RNAcentral. Lineage: Bacteria; Bacillati; Actinomycetota; Actinomycetes.
CCUCUUCAGGGGUAACCCUGGGGAGGGGAGAGCGGCGAACGGGUGAGUAACACGUGGGCAACCUGCCCCAGACUCUGGGAUAACCCCGGGAAACCGGGGCUAAUACCGGAUACUCCGAACGGAUCACAUGAUCCGUUCGGGAAAGCUCCGACGGUCUGGGAUGGGCCCGCGGCCUAUCAGCUUGUUGGUGGGGUAACGGCCUACCAAGGCGACGACGGGUAGCUGGUCUGAGAGGACGGCCAGCCACACUGGGACUGAGACACGGCCCAGACUCCUACGGGAGGCAGCAGUGGGGAAUCUUGCGCAAUGGGCGAAAGCCUGACGCAGCGACGCCGCGUGGGGGAUGAAGGCCCUCGGGUUGUAAACCUCUUUCGGCGGGGACGAAGCCGCAAGGUGACGGUACCUGCAGAAGAAGCUCCGGCUAACUACGUGCCAGCAGCCGCGGUAAGACGUAGGGAGCGAGCGUUGUCCGGAUUCAUUGGGCGUAAAGCGCGCGUAGGCGGCCUCGCAAGUCGGUUGUGAAAUCCCGGGGCUCAACCCCGGGACUGCGUCCGAUACUGCGAGGCUGGAGGUAGGUAGGGGAGAUCGGAAUUCCUGGUGUAGCGGUGAAAUGCGCAGAUAUCAGGAGGAACACCGGUGGCGAAGGCGGAUCUCUGGGCCUUACCUGACGCUGAGGCGCGAAAGCUAGGGGAGCGAACAGGAUUAGAUACCCUGGUAGUCCUAGCCGUAAACGUUGGGUGCUAGGUGUGGGCGGAUAUCGACCCCGUCCGUGCCGAAGCUAACGCAUUAAGCACCCCGCCUGGGGAGUACGGCCGCAAGGCUAAAACUC